UAGGAGCCAACAACCAGGAGCCCUGGCAACCAGCCAGCAAGAGGACAGAGGCUUCAGUCCUACAACCACAAGGAUAUGAAUUUGCCAACAGUCAUAUCUGCUUGGAUAAAGGACCUUGACCUACAGGAAGAAAUGCAGCCUAGCCAAUCCUUUACUUCAAUUUGUGAAACCCUGAGCAGAGGAGACCUAGUUCAGAUGCUGUCAAGAGAAUGAGAAGAUAAGCCACAAAGUGGGAGAAAAAUUUGCAGUGGACAUAACUGAUAAAGGACUGUUGUCCAAAAUAUACCAAAAACUCAAAACUCAACAAGAGAAUGAACAACCUGAUUUAAAAAUGGACAAAAGACCAGAACAUCUCAGCAAAGAAGAUACAUGGAAGGCAAAUAAGCAUAUGGAAAGAUACACCACAUGAUAUGUCAUUAAGGAAAUGCAAACCAAAACAACAAUGAAGUACUCCCACAUGCCUAUUAGAAUGGCUCAAAUAUAGAACAGUGAUAUCACCAAAUGUUGCUGAAGAUGUGGAACAAUAGGAACUCUCAUUCCCUGCUGGUGAAAAUGCAAAAUGGUGCAGGCACUGUGGAAGACAGUUGGCAGUUUCUCAUAGAGCUAAAGUUCCGGAGACUAGAAAUCCAAGACCAAAGUGCUGGAAAAUUUGUUUACCAGUGAGAGAUUUCUUCUUGGUUUGCAGAUGACCAUCUUCUCGUUUUGUCUUCACAUGGCCCUUCUUCUGUAUCGCCAACACCAACCACCUACUCAGGGACCGUUUGGCUGGGGGUACGUGGGCUGGCUCCCCUGUCCUCCGGAAUCAUGUCUUUCAGAGUUUGUUUAAAUGAGCCAGCAUCUCAAGUCUGGCCAGCCGUGGGACACUUACAACGUCAUUUCUGCCCCUCAAGAUUGUGAACCAGAUUUGGGGAAGUGGUGAGUUCUCCAAGUAUUUCAGACUUUUUCUUCAGUAACCAUUGCAUUAUGAAGACCUAGCCCCAGGGAAGAAGAGAACAUAAACAGCUGGUAUAAAAAAAUAAAUCAAUAAAAAUAAAUAAAAACUUG
Molecule: long non-coding RNA, 1044 nt
Organism: Suricata suricatta (meerkat)
Lineage: Eukaryota; Metazoa; Chordata; Mammalia; Carnivora; Herpestidae
Exons: 5
Source: RefSeq, a predicted model, not a curated record